RNAcentral lists this ribosomal RNA (442 nucleotides) under uncultured bacterium. RNAcentral describes it as "partial 16S ribosomal RNA". It matches the Rfam family "Bacterial small subunit ribosomal RNA", at positions 338 to 795 of the family's 1533-position model. The record is from RNAcentral.
CCUACGGUGGGCAGCAGUAGGGAAUUUUUCACAAUGGGCGAAAGCCUGAUGGAGCAACGCAGCGUGCAGGAUGAAGGCCUUCGGGUUGUAAACUGCUUUUAUAAGCGAGAAAUAUGAUGGUAACUUAUGAAUAAGGAACGGCUAACUACGUGCCAGCAGCCGCGGUCAUACGUAGGAUCCGAGCAUUAUCCGGAGUGACUGGGUGUAAGGAGUUGCGUAGUUGGCAUAAUAAGUAGCUAGUGAAAUCUGGUGGCCCAACCAUUCAGACUAUUAGCUAAACUGGUAAGCUCGAGACCGUUAGGGGUAACUGGAAUUUCUAGUGUAGGAGUGAAAUCCGUAGAUAUUAGAAGGAACACCAAUAGCGUAGGCAGGUUGCUGGGACGGUUCUGACACUAAGGCACGAAAGCGUAGGGAGCAAACGGGAUUAGAUACCCGUGUAGUC